Molecule: ribosomal RNA, 467 nt
Filed under: uncultured bacterium
Lineage: Bacteria
Description: partial 16S ribosomal RNA
Rfam family: Bacterial small subunit ribosomal RNA
Source: RNAcentral
GACGAACGCUGGCGGCGUGCUUAACACAUGCAAGUCGAACGGAAAGGCCCUGCUUUUGUGGGGUGCUCGAGUGGCGAACGGGUGAGUAACACGUGAGUAACCUGCCCUUGACUUUGGGAUAACUUCAGGAAACUGGGGCUAAUACCGGAUAGGAGCUCCUGCUGCAUGGUGGGGGUUGGAAAGUUUCGGCGGUUGGGGAUGGACUCGCGGCUUAUCAGCUUGUUGGUGGGGUAGUGGCUUACCAAGGCUUUGACGGGUAGCCGGCCUGAGAGGGUGACCGGCCACAUUGGGACUGAGAUACGGCCCAGACUCCUACGGGAGGCAGCAGUGGGGAAUAUUGCACAAUGGGCGGAAGCCUGAUACAGCAACGCCGCGUGCGGGAUGACGGCCUUCGGGUCGUAAACCGCUUUCGCCUGUGACGAAGCGUGAGUGACGGUAAUGGGUAAAGAAGCACCGGCUAACUACGU